Molecule: ribosomal RNA, 220 nt
Filed under: uncultured soil bacterium
Lineage: Bacteria
Description: partial 16S ribosomal RNA
Rfam family: Bacterial small subunit ribosomal RNA
Source: RNAcentral
AGAUUGAACGCUGGCGGCAUGCUUUACACAUGCAAGUCGAACGGUAACAGGCCGCAAGGUGCUGACGAGUGGCGAACGGGUGAGUAAUGUAUCGGAACGUGCCCAGUCGUGGGGGAUAACGCAGCGAAAGCUGCGCUAAUACCGCAUACGAUCUAUGGAUGAAAGCGGGGGACCGUAAGGCCUCGCGCGAUUGGAGCGGCCGAUAUCAGAUUAGGUAGUU